ACCUGUAAGUCACUUACAGGCAAAUCUACCAAAAAACUGCAGGGCGAUGGGGGCCCUAAGCCACUUACAAGCUCAACGGUCGGAUUUUUUAAAAGAGGGGAAGAUGGAGAAACGCACUCUCCCUCUCUGCAAUCUCUCUCCGUCUGCAACGACCGCCCUCUGUCUCUGCAAUCUCUCUUUGUCUGAAACGACCGCCCUCCCUCUCUGCAAUCUCUCUCUGUCUGCAACGACCUCCCUCCCUCUCAGCAAUCUCUCUUUGUCUGCAACGACCACCCUCCCUCUCUACUCCUCCCCAAAACGGUAGGGUUUGAUCGCAAUGUUUCCUUUUCUGCUUUGAAAACGGGGGUGGAUUAGGUGUUACUCGUACACAUGCUCACCCGUGCACGUGUGCACGUGUGAUCCUUUCCACACGUGUCAUGGGACUCUAAUCCGAAUGGUUCAUGUGAUGAAACAUCCCAUUAAACCUCCCUAGGGACCAAUUUUCACUCUGAUCUAAAACUCCGGUGGGCCAUAGAAAAGUGAUAUGAAAAUCAAAGGAGAAAACUGUUUUCUUUUGCCAUGGCCCACAAAAGUUUUGGAUCAAUGUAAAAGUUGAACCCUGUGGGUUUCAUGGGAUGAUUCAUCACGUGGACCAUUCAGAUUUUGGACUAACAUAGCUUAUUAUGAGUUCUCAAAAAAGUUCUCACAAGAACUUGUGCCAACUGCACGGCUAAGCAUUUUGAUGGUAGGGGAUCGGGUGCUGAGUAAACUCUGUGGGAUCCACUGUGAUUUAUGUAUUUGAUCCACCCCAUCCAUCCAUUUUAAUAACAAACUCUGUGGAUGGUUUAAAGUAAGACAUGCCCAAUGGUAUAUAUACAAUGGUACAAUGUACACUCAUUAGAUGGCUGGUUUGUUUGAUGGAGGUUACCUUUAUUCAUGAUCCAUUCAUAGUGCACCAGAAAUAUGAUCUGGAUCACUAGAAGGUGGGUGCACCUACAUCGUAUGCUACUUACAUAUUGUGUUGCUGCUGUGGUUUGAGAACAAACUGCCAAUUUACCUUUAAAAAUUCAUAUG
Long non-coding RNA from Magnolia sinica, 1053 nucleotides. RefSeq lists it as uncharacterized. The record is from RefSeq and is a predicted model, not a curated record. Lineage: Eukaryota; Viridiplantae; Streptophyta; Magnoliopsida; Magnoliales; Magnoliaceae. The transcript has 2 exons.